GGAAAUUUAGCUCAGUGGUAGAGUGCUUGCCUAGGAAGCGCAAGGCCCUGGGUUCGAUCCCCAGCUCCG
This 69-nucleotide transfer RNA is filed under the name Rattus norvegicus (Norway rat). It matches the Rfam family "tRNA". From Rfam's summary of the family: Transfer RNA (tRNA) molecules are approximately 80 nucleotides in length. Their secondary structure includes four short double-helical elements and three loops (D, anti-codon, and T loops). The record is from Rfam by way of RNAcentral. Lineage: Eukaryota; Metazoa; Chordata; Mammalia; Rodentia; Muridae.